GGUACUGUGGCUCAAGUAGUGGUAGAGUGCUUGCCUGACAUGCAUGAGGCCCUGGGUUCGAUUCCUCAGCGCCA
This 74-nucleotide transfer RNA is filed under the name Dipodomys ordii (Ord's kangaroo rat). It matches the Rfam family "tRNA". Rfam says of the family: Transfer RNA (tRNA) molecules are approximately 80 nucleotides in length. Their secondary structure includes four short double-helical elements and three loops (D, anti-codon, and T loops). The record is from Rfam by way of RNAcentral. Lineage: Eukaryota; Metazoa; Chordata; Mammalia; Rodentia; Heteromyidae.